CUUUAGAUGAUUUAGGAAGUUGCCAAAGAAGGUUCUUAGGCUUGCUUUGUUUUCAAGUCCAAUGAAAACUUCCAAAGAAGCUUCUUAGGGCCUAAUAUAUAUAGGAGUUGAGGUUGAGGGGAUCCUCAAUGUCAACAAUUCUUUUCUUAUGGUUUGGCUAGAACCUUCAUGCCUUGUAUCUAAUUAUUGUACUAAUGUCGAGCCAACUCCAUUUCUUGGUCUUGAAUCCUUGUCUUAUAUAUGGACCCUAAGAGUUUGUGAAGACUACUAUAAAAUAUUAUUAGAAGUUUGGUCUUUUUUAACAAAAAGUAGAUUAUUCCUCUUCUUGAAAGUACUAUAGCAUUCUAGAGGUUACGGAUUACCUUCUUCUAGACUAAUAUUGUUCUUUUCUUA
Molecule: long non-coding RNA, 393 nt
Filed under: Physcomitrium patens
Lineage: Eukaryota; Viridiplantae; Streptophyta; Bryopsida; Funariales; Funariaceae
Description: long non-coding RNA (PPAT_LNC011661)
Source: RNAcentral